RNAcentral lists this transfer RNA (71 nucleotides) under Loxodonta africana (African savanna elephant). It matches the Rfam family "tRNA". From Rfam's summary of the family: Transfer RNA (tRNA) molecules are approximately 80 nucleotides in length. Lineage: Eukaryota; Metazoa; Chordata; Mammalia; Proboscidea; Elephantidae. The record is from Rfam by way of RNAcentral.
GCAUUGGUAGUUCAGUGGUAGAAUUCUCAUCUUCCAUGUGGAAGACAUGGGUUGAAUUCCCAGCCAAUGCA